This 254-nucleotide ribosomal RNA is filed under the name uncultured bacterium. Its description in RNAcentral is "partial 16S ribosomal RNA". It matches the Rfam family "Bacterial small subunit ribosomal RNA", at positions 524 to 776 of the family's 1533-position model. The record is from RNAcentral.
UACGGGGGGAGCAAGCGUUGUUCGGAUUUACUGGGCGUAAAGGGCGCGUAGGCGGCCUGUGCAAGUCAGUUGUGAAAUCUCCGAGCUUAACUCGGAACGGUCAACUGAUACUGCUCGGCUAGAGUGCGGAAGGGGCAACUGGAAUUCUUGGUGUAGCGGUGAAAUGCGUAGAUAUCAAGAGGAACACCUGCGGCGAAGGCGGGUUGCUGGGCCGACACUGACGCUGAUGCGCGAAAGCCAGGGGAGCGAACGGG